This 492-nucleotide ribosomal RNA is filed under the name uncultured bacterium. RNAcentral's name for it is "partial 16S ribosomal RNA". It matches the Rfam family "Bacterial small subunit ribosomal RNA", at positions 29 to 507 of the family's 1533-position model. The record is from RNAcentral.
AGUGAACGCUGGCGGUAGGCCUAACACAUGCAAGUCGAACGGCAGCACAGUAAGAGCUUGCUCUUACGGGUGGCGAGUGGCGGACGGGUGAGGAAUACAUCGGAAUCUACUUUUUCGUGGGGGAUAACGUAGGGAAACUUACGCUAAUACCGCAUACGACCUACGGGUGAAAGCAGGGGAUCUUCGGACCUUGCGCGAUUGAAUGAGCCGAUGUCGGAUUAGCUAGUUGGCGGGGUAAAGGCCCACCAAGGCGACGAUCCGUAGCUGGUCUGAGAGGAUGAUCAGCUACACUGGAACUGAGACACGGUCCAGACCCCUACGGGAGGCAGCAGUGGGGAAUAUUGGACAAUGGGCGCAAGCCUGAUCCAGCCAUACCGCGUGGGUGAAGAAGGCCUUCGGGUUGUAAAGCCCUUUUGUUGGGAAAGAAAAGCAGCAGGUUAAUACCCCGCUGUUCUGACGGUACCCAAAGAAUAAGCACCGGCUAACUUCGUG